CAGCAGCCGCGGGAAUACGUAGGUGGCAAGCGUUGUCCGGAUUUAUUGGGCGUAAAGCGAGCGCAGGCGGUUCCUUAAGUCUGAUGUGAAAGCCCACGGCUCAACCGUGGAAGGUCAUUGGAAACUGGGGAACUUGAGUGCAGAAGAGGAGAGUGGAAUUCCAUGUGUAGCGGUGAAAUGCGUAGAUAUAUGGAGGAACACCAGUGGCGAAGGCGACUCUCUGGUCUGUAACUGACGCUGAGGCUCGAAAGCGUGGGGAGCAAAUGGGAUUAGAUACCCCAGUAGUCCCUGUCUCUUAUAC
RNAcentral lists this ribosomal RNA (301 nucleotides) under uncultured bacterium. Its description in RNAcentral is "partial 16S ribosomal RNA". It matches the Rfam family "Bacterial small subunit ribosomal RNA", at positions 509 to 807 of the family's 1533-position model. The record is from RNAcentral.